Long non-coding RNA from Ornithorhynchus anatinus (platypus), 665 nucleotides. RefSeq lists it as uncharacterized. The transcript is spliced from 5 exons. The record is from RefSeq and is a predicted model, not a curated record. NCBI's taxonomy places the organism in Eukaryota, Metazoa, Chordata, Mammalia, Monotremata, Ornithorhynchidae.
CAGACCUGGGUUCAUGCCAUCUCCCUCCCCGUUACUUGCUGCUGUGAUCUGGCAUGACAUCUCUGCACUGUUUGAUUCCUCUGUUUUAGAUUCAAAGUAAGACUCCUCAGACAUUCUUGCAGCAAGAGAAAUGAAAAAAAAUCAUGUAAUAGAGCCAUGUCAUGCUUUCAGAAACAGAAUUUUUUUCACCCUCAAAGAUUAAGCAUCAACAUGUACAAAGUCCAAUGGAAUCUAUUAGACCCACAGCUGAAACUACCAAGUCGCAGCAGAAUCAACAGGAAAUAAGCAAGGAUGCUGGGAGUGAAAAAAAUGGACUUUUUACUUUGACUUCCUCAGGACUACUGGGAAGUCACAACUUCCUAACAUCUUUUCUACUUCCUCACUCUCCAAGGUGAGUUUUACCCUACUCGUGGAAUGAUUGGCAGGGGAAGAAAGAGGACAAGAAUUUAGGAACCCUGUCCUCGUGUCUUUAUUCCUUCCAGAGGAGCCCCAGUAUUCAACUGCAGCAAUUAAAACCUGCAUUUUAAUUUGGGAGCACAAAAACAACUGGGAACAAUGCUGUGGUAGUUUUCAGGAAGAACCAAGUGAUUCUUACAUUAUGAAGAUGGGCAAUUUCAUAAUGAAGUAAAAACAGAAUAAAGACAAGCACUCAAGUGAUGCCCUUA